AGCAUCGGGGUGCUAAUCACUUUUACCCUGGUAGUUUGUGGUUUUUGUGAAAUAAUUUUAUCUCUGUCUACAAAGUAAAAUAAUUGUGUUAUUUUGAAAUGC
Long non-coding RNA from Thalassophryne amazonica, 102 nucleotides. RefSeq lists it as uncharacterized. The transcript has 3 exons. NCBI's taxonomy places the organism in Eukaryota, Metazoa, Chordata, Actinopteri, Batrachoidiformes, Batrachoididae. The record is from RefSeq and is a predicted model, not a curated record.